UACAGAGGGUGCGAGCGUUAAUCGGAAUUACUGGGCGUAAAGCGUGCGUAGACGGUUAUUUAAGUCGGGUGUGAAAGCCCCGGGCUCAACCUGGGAAUUGCAUUUGAGACUGCUCUGCUCGGGUGCGGAAGAGGGAAGCGGAAUUUCCGGUGUAGCGGUGAAAUGCGUAGAUAUCGGAAGGAACACCAGUGGCGAAAGCGGCUUCCUGGUCCGACACCGACGUUCAGGCACGAAAGCGUGGGGAGCAAACAGG
This 253-nucleotide ribosomal RNA is filed under the name uncultured bacterium. Its description in RNAcentral is "partial 16S ribosomal RNA". It matches the Rfam family "Bacterial small subunit ribosomal RNA", at positions 524 to 776 of the family's 1533-position model. The record is from RNAcentral.